GUGCAUUGCUUCUGGUGGAAAACACCCUGUUCUUAAAUGGGAGAAUAAUAUGGCAUGGCCAGGAAAACUUAUUUUGACUGAUAGGGCCCUUUACUUUGAGGCAGUUGGUUUGACAGGGAAAAGAAAAAUAUCAAGAUUGGAUCUUACAGGAGAAGGUUCACACAUAAAGAGAACAAGAGUUGGGCCUCUGGGCUUUGACUUUUUAGAUUCUGCUGUAUCUGUCACUUCAGGGCCUCAGUGAGUCGGAUACAUGGGUAUUAG
Molecule: unclassified non-coding RNA, 261 nt
Filed under: Hevea brasiliensis (rubber tree)
Lineage: Eukaryota; Viridiplantae; Streptophyta; Magnoliopsida; Malpighiales; Euphorbiaceae
Source: RNAcentral